GACGAACGCUGGCGGCGUGCCUAAUACAUGCAAGUAGAACGCUGAAGGAGGAGCUUGCUUCUCCGGAUGAGUUGCGAACGGGUGAGUAACGCGUAGGUAACCUGCCUGGUAGCGGGGGAUAACUAUUGGAAACGAUAGCUAAUACCGCAUAAGAGUAGAUGUUGCAUGACAUUUGCUUAAAAGGUGCAAUUGCAUCACUACCAGAUGGACCUGCGUUGUAUUAGCUAGUUGGUGGGGUAACGGCUCACCAAGGCGACGAUACAUAGCCGACCUGAGAGGGUGAUCGGCCACACUGAGACUGAGACACGGCCCAGACUCCUACGGGAGGCAGCAGUAGGGAAUCGUCAGCAAUGGACGGAAGUCUGACCGAGCAACGCCGCGUGAGUGAAGAAGGUUGUCGGAUCGUAAAGCUCUGUUGUAAGAGAAGAACGAGUGUGAGAGUGGAAAGUUCACACUGUGACGGUAUCUGACCAGAAAGGGACGGCUAACUACGUG
This 495-nucleotide ribosomal RNA is filed under the name uncultured bacterium. RNAcentral's name for it is "partial 16S ribosomal RNA". It matches the Rfam family "Bacterial small subunit ribosomal RNA", at positions 28 to 507 of the family's 1533-position model. The record is from RNAcentral.